AGGAGCCGUAUGCGGUAGUUCCGCACGUACGGAUCUGUGCGGGGGGUGACAGGUAACUGCCAUCCCUACCGCGC
RNAcentral lists this unclassified non-coding RNA (74 nucleotides) under Azotobacter beijerinckii. The record is from RNAcentral. Lineage: Bacteria; Pseudomonadati; Pseudomonadota; Gammaproteobacteria; Pseudomonadales; Pseudomonadaceae.